AAAUUGAAGAGUUUGAUCAUGGCUCAGAUUGAACGCUGGCGGCAGGCCUAACACAUGCAAGUCGAACGGUAACAGAAAGCAGCUUGCUGCUUUGCUGACGAGUGGCGGACGGGUGAGUAAUAUCUGGGAAACUGCCCGAUGGAGGGGGAUAACUACUGGAAACGGUAGCUAAUACCGCAUAACGUCGCAAGACCAAAGAGGGGGACCUUCGGGCCUCUUGCCAUCGGAUGUGCCCAGAUGGGAUUAGCUAGUAGGUGGGGUAAAGGCUCACCUAGGCGACGAUCCCUAGCUGGUCUGAGAGGAUGACCAGCCACACUGGAACUGAGACACGGUCCAGACUCCUACGGGAGGCAGCAGUGGGGAAUAUUGCACAAUGGGCGCAAGCCUGAUGCAGCCAUGCCGCGUGUAUGAAGAAGGCCUUCGGGUUGUAAAGUACUUUCAGCGGGGAGGAAGGGAGUAAAGUUAAUACCUUUGCUCAUUGACGUUACCCGCAGAAGAAGCACCGGCUAACUCCGUGCCAGCAGCCGCGGUAAUACGGAGGGUGCAAGCGUUAAUCGGAAUUACUGGGCGUAAAGCGCACGCAGGCGGUUUGUUAAGUCAGAUGUGAAAUCCCCGGGCUCAACCUGGGAACUGCAUCUGAUACUGGCAAGCUUGAGUCUCGUAGAGGGGGGUAGAAUUCCAGGUGUAGCGGUGAAAUGCGUAGAGAUCUGGAGGAAUACCGGUGGCGAAGGCGGCCCCCUGGACGAAGACUGACGCUCAGGUGCGAAAGCGUGGGGAGCAAACAGGAUUAGAUACCCUGGUAGUCCACGCCGUAAACGAUGUCGACUUGGAGGUUGUGCCCUUGAGGCGUGGCUUCCGGAGCUAACGCGUUAAGUCGACCGCCUGGGGAGUACGGCCGCAAGGUUAAAACUCAAAUGAAUUGACGGGGGCCCGCACAAGCGGUGGAGCAUGUGGUUUAAUUCGAUGCAACGCGAAGAACCUUACCUGGUCUUGACAUCCACGGAAGUUUUCAGAGAUGAGAAUGUGCCUUCGGGAACCGUGAGACAGGUGCUGCAUGGCUGUCGUCAGCUCGUGUUGUGAAAUGUUGGGUUAAGUCCCGCAACGAGCGCAACCCUUAUCCUUUGUUGCCAGCGGUCCGGCCGGGAACUCAAAGGAGACUGCCAGUGAUAAACUGGAGGAAGGUGGGGAUGACGUCAAGUCAUCAUGGCCCUUACGACCAGGGCUACACACGUGCUACAAUGGCGCAUACAAAGAGAAGCGACCUCGCGAGAGCAAGCGGACCUCAUAAAGUGCGUCGUAGUCCGGAUUGGAGUCUGCAACUCGACUCCAUGAAGUCGGAAUCGCUAGUAAUCGUGGAUCAGAAUGCCACGGUGAAUACGUUCCCGGGCCUUGUACACACCGCCCGUCACACCAUGGGAGUGGGUUGCAAAAGAAGUAGGUAGCUUAACCUUCGGGAGGGCGCUUACCACUUUGUGAUUCAUGACUGGGGUGAAGUCGUAACAAGGUAACCGUAGGGGAACCUGCGGUUGGAUCACCUCCUUACCUUAAAGAAGC
This 1554-nucleotide ribosomal RNA is filed under the name Escherichia coli. RNAcentral describes it as "bacterial SSU rRNA". It matches the Rfam family "Bacterial small subunit ribosomal RNA". Lineage: Bacteria; Pseudomonadati; Pseudomonadota; Gammaproteobacteria; Enterobacterales; Enterobacteriaceae. The record is from RNAcentral.